GCUCAACCGAAGAAGUGCAUCGGAAACUGGGAAACUUGAGUGCAGAAGAGGACAGUGGAACUCCAUGUGUAGCGGUGAAAUGCGUAGAUAUAUGGAAGAACACCAGUGGCGAAGGCGGCUGUCUGGUCUGUAACUGACGCUGAGGCUCGAAAGUAUGGGUAGCAAACAGGAUUAGAUACCCUGGUAGUCCAUACCGUAAACGAUGAAUGCUAAGUGUUGGAGGGUUUCCGCCCUUCAGUGCUGCAGCUAACGCAUUAAGCAUUCCGCCUGGGGAGUACGGCCGCAAGGCCGAAACUCAAAGGAAUUGACGGGGGCCCGCACAAGCGGUGGAGCAUGUGGUUUAAUUCGAAGCUACGCGAAGAACCUUACCAGGUCUUGACAUACUAUGCAAAUCUAAGAGAUUAGACGUUCCCUUCGGGGACAUGGAUACAGGUGGUGCAUGGUUGUCGUCAGCUCGUGUCGUGAGAUGUUGGGUUAAGUCCCGCAACGAGCGCAACCCUUAUUAUCAGUUGCCAGCAUUAAGUUGGGCACUCUGGUGAGACUGCCGGUGACAAACCGGAGGAAGGUGGGGAUGACGUCAAAUCAUCAUGCCCCUUAUGACCUGGGCUACACACGUGCUACAAUGGAUGGUACAACG
RNAcentral lists this ribosomal RNA (637 nucleotides) under uncultured bacterium. RNAcentral describes it as "bacterial SSU rRNA". It matches the Rfam family "Bacterial small subunit ribosomal RNA", at positions 607 to 1244 of the family's 1533-position model. The record is from RNAcentral.